This 429-nucleotide ribosomal RNA is filed under the name Acidobacteriota bacterium. RNAcentral describes it as "Acidobacteria bacterium partial 16S ribosomal RNA". It matches the Rfam family "Bacterial small subunit ribosomal RNA", at positions 355 to 776 of the family's 1533-position model. The record is from RNAcentral. Lineage: Bacteria; Pseudomonadati; Acidobacteriota.
UCGAGAAUAUUUCGCAAUGGGCGAAAGCCUGACGAAGCGACGCCGUGUGAAUGAUGAAGGCCUUCGGGUUGUAAAGUUCUGUUACCUGGGAGCAAGAAGGCAUAUUGAAUAGGUAUGCCUGAUGAGAGUACCAGGGGAGAAAGCACCGGCUAAUUCCGUGCCAGCAGCUGCGGUAAUACGGAAGGUGCAAGCGUUAAUCGGAAUUACUGGGCGUAAAGGGUGCGUAGGCGGGAAUGAACGUCAGAUGUGAAAUUUUGGGGCUUAACCUCAAAGCUGCAUCUGAAACGGCAUUUCUUGAGGAAAUGCGGAGAGAAUGGAAUUCCAUGUGUAGCGGUGAAAUGCGUAGAUAUAUGGAAGAACACCUGUGGCGAAAGCGGUUCUCUAGCUUAAUACUGACGCUGAUGCACGAGAGCAAGGGGAGCAAACAGG